This 827-nucleotide long non-coding RNA is filed under the name Equus asinus (donkey). RNAcentral describes it as "lncRNA (ENSEASG00005027144.1)". The record is from RNAcentral. Lineage: Eukaryota; Metazoa; Chordata; Mammalia; Perissodactyla; Equidae.
CCAGAGCUGAGCUUCCCAGAGCUCUGCCUUCAGGUGGAGGGCACACAAGAGCCCGACUGCACCAUCUCUGCCUGGUCCUGAAGGAGCAGCUGCCACCAGCACCUUCUCAGGGGCUGGGCCAAGCCGAACCGCGCAGCCGACACCCACAGUGCUGCAGGCCCUGGCCAGCUGCAGUUGGAGGCACAGUGCCAUCUAGCGGAUAAAAGAAAAAAGGCUCCAUCGCUUUUUUUUUUAAGUUACUGGAGAACCAUAGACCAAAGAAUCAGCUGUCUUUAUUUGCUACCAAAGGAGCUUGAUAACCAGAGAAGGAAAUGGAUUUCCUGAAUGUCACACAGCCAGCUGGUGGCCGCAUUGAUACUACAGAGCCUCAUCAUUUGAGCCUUGGUCCAGCAUUCUCCGCACUAUACCACAGUAAAGAAACCAGAGGAUAAAAGAGCUUCUAGUUUUGGCUGAGUGGCAUUUCAGACCUCUGCUGAGGUGGAGGUGAACACAAGCGGGGGCCAGCGUCUGAAGAGAUGGUGUCAGUUAUUCACUAUCGAAUGCCUUGGCUGGACUCUCUCAGUCAUGGGUGCAAGGCCAGAGCAAAUUCAGUUGUCCACCCUGCUCUCCCUCCCAGCAAAUCUGCCAUGAAACUCAGCACAAGAUAAGACCAGAUGUUGACUGGAAACAUAUGGCGAUGCUUUGGGAUCAAUCCUGUUUCUCAUGGAUAUCCUAAAACAGCAAAAGGCUUUCUUGGCUGUGUUCCCUUCCUUCAGAGGCUGGCCUUCCUUGACUCCCGGACCAUCAUUCCGGCAGGCAAGAUGAGCCCAUCCUGCCUUACACUGAAG